RNAcentral lists this long non-coding RNA (781 nucleotides) under Theobroma cacao (cacao). RNAcentral's name for it is "long non-coding RNA (TCAC_LNC002628)". The record is from RNAcentral. Lineage: Eukaryota; Viridiplantae; Streptophyta; Magnoliopsida; Malvales; Malvaceae.
AUAGGAAGAGGGGUGAGAUUAAAUAAUCCCAGUGAGUAAACAAUUACCAUCAAAAGCAUCUAAAGCUGAGUAGAUGGAGACAAUAUAAAAACGUUAUAUCUCAAUAAUGUUCAUAACACAAAAUUCGUUUCAAUCUAUACCAAACAAUUUCUUUUCAUCAAAAUUUCCCGGCUUAUGAAUUUCUUAAACUUGGCCCCUGCCAGAAUCAUUCUCGCGGGUACCUUCGUCAAGGUAUCCCACUGAAACCGCCAAGGCUGUUCAAUGACCCAUACCAAUAAACAUGUUUUCACAUCUAACACACAGCCGUUCCUUGGCGUUGGCUGAGUCUCACUCUCACGUGGUGGCUUGAACAUGAGGUGCACUCAAAUCAUACCUCAGGAGAUACUUCACCCAACAUCUCCCCCCCGGAGGUAAGUAUAUAAUUGGGUUACCGUGCCCCUCUCAUAAGCAAUCCAUGGAAACCCCCACUACUGCAGUGACCGUUUAAUAUACCACCAGACCCAUAAAAAUUCCAAUAGCAUAAUAUGGCAAAUAAAAUGUAAUUCAGUCUACCGAGACCAAUCCAAAACUACUCAUAUAUUUCAUGCCAACCCCAAAAAUUUAGCCAUCAUGCUACCAUAGUGUCAUAAGCCACAAUUUCAAUAACAUAUAAAAUCAUAAAUUUCAACACAGUCUCCAUAUACUCAAUUUUUCCAAAAUAAUAUUUGAUUUCAAAACCAAUAUAAAUCUCAUUUUUAUUAAAAAACAUUUUAAUUAGAAAACAUAAUAUUUUAUAAUUUAA